Molecule: small nucleolar RNA, 84 nt
Organism: Humulus lupulus (European hop)
Lineage: Eukaryota; Viridiplantae; Streptophyta; Magnoliopsida; Rosales; Cannabaceae
Product: small nucleolar RNA snoR114
Exons: 1
Source: RefSeq, a predicted model, not a curated record
UGGCUGUGAUGAAUCUGCGCUUAUGUGUUGGAGGGGUCCAACGCCUUCAUCUGAAUUAAGAUGAAAACAUGCGCAUCUGAGCUU